Molecule: ribosomal RNA, 426 nt
Filed under: uncultured bacterium
Lineage: Bacteria
Description: bacterial SSU rRNA
Rfam family: Bacterial small subunit ribosomal RNA
Source: RNAcentral
GUGAGGAAUUUUCCGCAAUGGGCGAAAGCCUGACGGAGCAAUGCCGCGUGAAGGAUGAAGGCCUAUGGGUUGUAAACUUCUUUUCUCAGAAAAGAAUUAUGACGGUAUCUGAGGAAUAAGCAUCGGCUAACUCUGUGCCAGCAGCCGCGGUAAGACAGAGGAUGCAAGCGUUAUCCGGAAUGAUUGGGCGUAAAGCGUCUGUAGGUUGUUUAAAAAGUAUUCUGUCAAAGAUUAGGGCUUAACCCUAGAUAGGCAGAAUAAACUUUUAAGCUAGAGUUUGGUAGAGGCAGAGGGAAUUUCCGGUGGAGCGGUGAAAUGCGUAGAUAUCGGGAGGAACACCAAAGGCGAAGGCACUCUGCUGGGCCAAUACUAACACUGAGAGACGAAAGCGAGGGGAGCAAAUGGGAUUAGAUACCCGAGUAGUCC